AUAUUGGGCAAUGGGCGCAAGCCUGACCCAGCAAUGCCGCGUGAAGGAAGAAGGCCCUCGGGUUGUAAACUUCUUUUAUCAGGGACGAAGGAUGUGACGGUAACUGAUGAAUAAGCUCCGGCUAACUACGUGCCAGCAGCCGCGGUAAUACGUAGGGAGCAAGCGUUAUCCGGAUUUACUGGGUGUAAAGGGCGCGUAGGCGGGAUGGCAAGUCAGAUGUGAAAUGCAGGGGCUCAACCCCUGAACUGCAUUUGAAACUAUCGUUCUUGAGUACUGGAGAGGUUGACGGAGUUCCUAGUGUAGCGGUGAAAUGCGUAGCUAUUAGGAGGAACACCAGUGGCGAAGGCAGGCAACUGGACAGCAACUGACGCUGAGGCGCGAAAGCGUGGGGAGCAAA
This 397-nucleotide ribosomal RNA is filed under the name uncultured bacterium. RNAcentral describes it as "bacterial SSU rRNA". It matches the Rfam family "Bacterial small subunit ribosomal RNA", at positions 361 to 772 of the family's 1533-position model. The record is from RNAcentral.